Molecule: ribosomal RNA, 363 nt
Filed under: uncultured Caryophanaceae bacterium
Lineage: Bacteria; Bacillati; Bacillota; Bacilli; Caryophanales; Caryophanaceae
Description: bacterial SSU rRNA
Rfam family: Bacterial small subunit ribosomal RNA
Source: RNAcentral
GUGCCAGCCGCUGCGGUAAUACGUAGGUGGCAAGCGUUGUCCGGAUUUAUUGGGCGUAAAGCGCGCGCAGGCGGUCCUUUAAGUCUGAUGUGAAAGCCCACGGCUCAACCGUGGAGGGUCAUUGGAAACUGGAGGACUUGAGUGCAGAAGAGGAAAGUGGAAUUCCAAGUGUAGCGGUGAAAUGCGUAGAGAUUUGGAGGAACACCAGUGGCGAAGGCGACUUUCUGGUCUGUAACUGACGCUGAGGCGCGAAAGCGUGGGAGCAAACAGGAUUAGAUACCCUGGUAGUCCACGCCGUAACGAUGAGUGCUAAGUGUUAGGGGUUCCGCCCUUAGUGCUGCAGCUAACGCAUUAAGCACUCCG